AGCUAGUAAACUAAUUUUUAGGUUUAUAUUUCGGCUAUAAAGGGUGAAGCGAUUUUCUGCUAGUUA
Molecule: transfer RNA, 66 nt
Filed under: Dactylogyrus lamellatus
Lineage: Eukaryota; Metazoa; Platyhelminthes; Monogenea; Dactylogyridea; Dactylogyridae
Description: tRNA-Arg
Source: RNAcentral